RNAcentral lists this small RNA (604 nucleotides) under Wardomyces inflatus. RNAcentral's name for it is "eukaryotic LSU rRNA". It matches the Rfam family "Eukaryotic large subunit ribosomal RNA", at positions 50 to 674 of the family's 3401-position model. The record is from RNAcentral. Lineage: Eukaryota; Fungi; Ascomycota; Sordariomycetes; Microascales; Microascaceae.
GCGGAGGAAAAGAAACCAACAGGGAUUACCUCAGUAACGGCGAGUGAAGCGGUAACAGCUCAAAUUUGAAAUCUGGUCCCCUCUGGGGGCCCGAGUUGUAAUUUGAAGAGGAUGCUUUUGGCGAGGCGCCUUCCGAGUGCCCUGGAACGGGACGCCACAGAGGGUGAGAGCCCCGUAUGGUAGGACGCCGAGCCUCUGUAAAGCUCCUUCGACGAGUCGAGUAGUUUGGGAAUGCUGCUCAAAAUGGGAGGUAAACCCCUUCUAAAGCUAAAUAUUGGCCAGAGACCGAUAGCGCACAAGUAGAGUGAUCGAAAGAUGAAAAGCACUUUGAAAAGAGAGUUAAACAGCACGUGAAAUUGUUGAAAGGGAAGCGCUUGCGACCAGACUUGCGCCCGUCGGAUCAACCGUCCCUCGUGGGCGGCGCACUCCGGCGGGCUCAGGCCAGCAUCAGUUUUCCUGGGGGGAGAAAGGCGGUGGGAAUGUAGCUCUUCGGAGUGUUAUAGCCCUCCGCGUAAUACCCCCGGGGGGACUGAGGACCGCGCGAAAGCAAGGAUGCUGGCGUAAUGGUCGUCAGCGACCCGUCUUGAAACACGGACCAAGGAGU